CCUACGGGGCGCAGCAGUGAGGAAUAUUGGUCAAUGGACGAGAGUCUGAACCAGCCAAGUAGCGUGAAGGAUGACUGCCCUAUGGGUUGUAAACUUCUUUUAUAAAGGAAUAAAACGAGGCACGUGUGCCUUUUUGCAUGUACUUUAUGAAUAAGGAUCGGCUAACUCCGUGCCAGCAGCCGCGGUAAUACGGAGGCUCCGAGCGUUAGCCGGAUUUAUUGGGUUUAAAGGGAGCGUAGAUGGGUUGUUAAGUCAGUUGUGAAAGUUUGCGGCUCAACCGUAAAAUUGCAAUUGAUACUGGCAGUCGUGAGUACAGUUGAGGUAGGCGGAAUUCGUGGUGUAGCGGUGAAAUGCUUAGAUAUCACGAAGAACCCCGAUUGCGAAGGCAGCUUACUAAACUGUGACUGACAUUGAUGCUCGAAAGUGUGGGUAUCAAACAGGAUUAGAUACCCUUGUAGUC
RNAcentral lists this ribosomal RNA (460 nucleotides) under uncultured bacterium. RNAcentral describes it as "partial 16S ribosomal RNA". It matches the Rfam family "Bacterial small subunit ribosomal RNA", at positions 338 to 795 of the family's 1533-position model. The record is from RNAcentral.